GAUGAACGCUGGCGGCGUGCCUAAUACAUGCAAGUCGAGCGAACGGACGAGAAGCUUGCUUUUCUGAUGUUAGCGGCGGACGGGUGAGUAACACGUGGAUAACCUACCUAUAAGACUGGGAUAACUUCGGGAAACCGGAGCUAAUACCGGAUAAUAUUUUGAACCGCAUGGUUCAAAAGUGAAAGACGGUCUUGCUGUCACUUAUAGAUGGAUCCGCGCUGCAUUAGCUAGUUGGUAAGGUAACGGCUUACCAAGGCAACGAUGCAUAGCCGACCUGAGAGGGGGAUCGGCCACACUGAAACUGGGACACGGGCCAGACCCCCACGGGAGGCAGGAGUAGGGAAUUUUCCGCAAGGGGCGAAAGCCUGACGGAGCAACGCCGGGGGAGUGAUGAAGGUCUUGGGAUCGUAAAACUUUGUUAUUAGGGAAGAACAAUUGUGUAAGUAACUGUGCAAAUUUUGACGGUACCUAAACAGAAAGCCACGGCUAACUACGG
Molecule: ribosomal RNA, 496 nt
Filed under: uncultured bacterium
Lineage: Bacteria
Description: partial 16S ribosomal RNA
Rfam family: Bacterial small subunit ribosomal RNA
Source: RNAcentral